Megalopta genalis is the source of this 665-nucleotide long non-coding RNA. RefSeq lists it as uncharacterized. NCBI's taxonomy places the organism in Eukaryota, Metazoa, Arthropoda, Insecta, Hymenoptera, Halictidae. The record is from RefSeq and is a predicted model, not a curated record.
CGCCGGCGUGGAGUGGGGGCAGCGGCGGCAGUGGUGCAGGAACGACAGUGACAGCGCGCACCGGCGUAACUGUUAAAGCGGCGUUCGCGCCUCGGCACAACGCUCCGAGACGACCAAGAACAGGCCGGAACGGUCCCGAUGGGCGGAGCCUCGCGGAGGCGGCUCCCUUUACCGUUGGACCGCGCGACGGGACGCCAUUGUUUUCGCGGCGCGGUGCCCGUUCGACGCACGCCGACGCCCGGCGUCGCGACUCCACUCUCGCACGCAACGCCGUCGUGGCCGUCGUCGUCGUCAUCCGCCUGCCUCUUUUCUCUGCCUUCGUUCGGCUGGCCGCUCGAAUUUCUGCGCCAAGAGCUAAUUUGUUUACGAGCCACCGUUUCUACUGCAGUUUCGGACUAGCAUCGGACUCGGUCCGCCAUGUUCCCGAGACUGUGCGCUCGCGUCUUUAUCGCUGGGGUUGUUUGGCAAGUGAAGACGAACGUGUAGACACAGGUCGAGGAACGAGGAAUGAGACACGGAGUCGGUCAGCCAUCGCGAGAAUCUUGGUGGACGUCGACGAUGAAACUGUAAAUUUCUGUUUUAAUAUUACCGAUACUCCGAAGACGAUGUUAAACGAAACGAACAAGUACCGUCGACACUAAAAAUAAACAUUUCUUCGAGCAAAA